This 1176-nucleotide long non-coding RNA is filed under the name Gouania willdenowi (blunt-snouted clingfish). RNAcentral describes it as "lncRNA (ENSGWIG00000017464.1)". Lineage: Eukaryota; Metazoa; Chordata; Actinopteri; Blenniiformes; Gobiesocidae. The record is from RNAcentral.
AUGCUGAGGAACCGCCCGCCCUCCAGCCGCCUUGCCUCUCCCAGCAAGGUGGCCGCCUCCAUCAAGGCACAAUAUAAAAGGAUUGUGGAUCGCGUGAGAGACGAUCCCAUCCUCUGCGGCCUCUCCAUCCCACUGCCCAACAUCAACAAUAAGUCCAUCUCCAGCUUCUUCUCUCGGGAGGAGAAGGCUGCCAACUACAGAGCUACGGUGCAGCCCAAAGCCAAGCCCCACCGCACCGUGCUGUCUGACCAACCGCUGCCCGACGCUCUUGCGUUGCCGUCCUCGCUGCCACCACCAGACCGACAGCAAAUGCAGUUCGAGCAGCCUCGCCACACGGCCGGGAAAAGGCGCGGAGAGAAGCGGAGGUUGGACUUUGAGGAGCCGGACCCAGAGGCGGGACCUUCAAAUCGGCCCAUCCAAGCCCAGCCUGCUGCCGCCGCCCCCCCCUACAUCCUACCUGCAGUCCGGGCAGCUCCCAUACUGCUGGUGGUCCCAGCACAGCCGCGCGCUCCAUCAAUCCAGUUUGCCGGACCUUCCUGCAGGCAGGUAUUCGUCCCCGUUCUGCCCCCCCCCUGCUCUCAUCCCCAAGCCCAUCGUCCCCAAAAAGUCGGCGAGGCCCUGCGGGGCAUGCCAAGUUCCUCAGUGUGGUGGCCGGAGGAAACGCUACACGCCCUCCAAGGACAAAGCGGCUGGAAGCAGCCAAAAAAUUUACACUUUUUGUCCUGCCACAGGGAAGUCAACCACCUCUGGCUUUGAAGGCGUGGUGUACACCAGCUUUGAACACUUUAAAAGUGUGGUGGACGAGGAGCUGGAGAGGAGGAGAAGCCAUUAACACUGACUGUUGACACACCUGUUGCUUCUCCCUCUGUACAUUAUCCAUCUGUAUAUAUUAUUGAAUAUUUGUUACAUUGUAAUCAUACUGUAUAUAUGUUUUUAUAAUAGCUAUGUCAAUUAUAUUUCAUUUAGAUUUUGAUAAACAUUUUUAUUAUAUAUUUUUUUGGGCAACUUUAUAGAUGAAAGCCAUACUGGCAUUUCUGUAUGAUAGCACAUGUAUAUAUUAUUGCUUUUGUUUUAUAUUGAUUAUAUUUGUAAAGUUAGAAUUAUUUUUUGUUACUUGUGAAUUGUGUCAUAUUUUAUAUUAAUAAAAGUUGUGUUGUUAUUUAAAAGUGUGCCUUC